CCAGCAGCUGCGGUAAUUCCAGCACCAAUAGCGUAUACUCAAGUUGUUGCGUUUAAAAAGCUCGUAGUCGUAACCCGGGGAGCAGUUGUACGGUGGUCUUUUCGAUUUUAAUCGGUUAGUACCUCUACAGUUGUACUCUAUAGCAUUAGUUGUGAGCUGGUCUUAAUUGGUUGGUUUAUGACGAUAUGCUGUAGCUCCGUGAAUAAGUGGGAGUGUUCAAAGCAAAUUUGGAUACUGUACCUUCUAGCACGGUAAGCGGUAAAAAGGACAAGAUUUCUUUAGCCGUUAGUCGGGUGCAUUGUCAAUGAUUAAUAGGGAAAAAUUGAGUUAGCCAUAUGUCUCGGCGAGAGGUGAAAUUCUAUGACCCUUGACAGAUGAUCUAGAGCGAAAGCAGCUAACU
This 400-nucleotide ribosomal RNA is filed under the name uncultured eukaryote. RNAcentral describes it as "SSU rRNA". It matches the Rfam family "Eukaryotic small subunit ribosomal RNA", at positions 567 to 960 of the family's 1831-position model. The record is from RNAcentral.